AUUGAACGCUGGCGGCAGGCCUAACACAUGCAAGUCGAGCGGUAACAGGAAAGCGCUUGCGCUUUUGCUGACGAGCGGCGGACGGGUGAGUAAUGUCUGGGGAUCUGCCCGAGGGCGGGGGAUAACCACUGGAAACGGUGGCUAAUACCGCAUAAUGUCGCGAGACCAAAGUGGGGGACCUGAAAGGGCCUCACGCCAUCGGAUGAACCCAGAUGGGAUUAGCUGGUAGGUAGGGUAAUGGCCUACCUAGGCGACGAUCCCUAGCUGGUCUGAGAGGAUGACCAGCCACACUGGGACUGAGACACGGCCCAGACUCCUACGGGAGGCAGCAGUGGGGAAUAUUGCACAAUGGGCGCAAGCCUGAUGCAGCCAUGCCGCGUGUAUGAAGAAGGCCUUCGGGUUGUAAAGUACUUUCAGCGGGGAGGAAGGGUGUAGCCUGAAC
This 442-nucleotide ribosomal RNA is filed under the name Photorhabdus sp. RNAcentral's name for it is "bacterial SSU rRNA". It matches the Rfam family "Bacterial small subunit ribosomal RNA", at positions 29 to 464 of the family's 1533-position model. Lineage: Bacteria; Pseudomonadati; Pseudomonadota; Gammaproteobacteria; Enterobacterales; Morganellaceae. The record is from RNAcentral.